UCCCUAAUGGCUCAGAUGGUAAAGAAUCUGCCUGCAAUGCAGGAAACCCAGGUUCAAUCCCUGGGUCGGGAA
Molecule: transfer RNA, 72 nt
Filed under: Ovis aries (sheep)
Lineage: Eukaryota; Metazoa; Chordata; Mammalia; Artiodactyla; Bovidae
Rfam family: tRNA
About the family: Transfer RNA (tRNA) molecules are approximately 80 nucleotides in length. Their secondary structure includes four short double-helical elements and three loops (D, anti-codon, and T loops).
Source: Rfam by way of RNAcentral